UACCCGCCGAAUUUAAGCAUAUAAUUA
RNAcentral lists this ribosomal RNA (27 nucleotides) under Conticribra weissflogii. RNAcentral describes it as "partial 28S ribosomal RNA". The record is from RNAcentral. Lineage: Eukaryota; Bacillariophyta; Thalassiosirophyceae; Thalassiosirales; Thalassiosiraceae.